ACGCUCGACACCUACGCGAGGCAGCAGUGGGGAAUAUUGCACAAUGGGGGAAACCCGUGAUGCAGCGACGCCGCGUGAGCGAAGAAGUAUUUCGGUAUGUAAAGCUCUAUCAGCAGGGAAGAAACCGACGGUACCUGACUAAGAAGCACCGGCUAAAUACGUGUCAGCAGCAGCGGUAAUCUGAGCGGGCUGGCAAGGC
Molecule: ribosomal RNA, 199 nt
Filed under: uncultured bacterium
Lineage: Bacteria
Description: partial 16S ribosomal RNA
Rfam family: Bacterial small subunit ribosomal RNA
Source: RNAcentral